This 1185-nucleotide ribosomal RNA is filed under the name Salmonella enterica. RNAcentral's name for it is "bacterial SSU rRNA". It matches the Rfam family "Bacterial small subunit ribosomal RNA", at positions 1 to 1180 of the family's 1533-position model. The record is from RNAcentral. Lineage: Bacteria; Pseudomonadati; Pseudomonadota; Gammaproteobacteria; Enterobacterales; Enterobacteriaceae.
UGAAGAGUUUGAUCAUGGCUCAGAUUGAACGCUGGCGGCAGGCCUAACACAUGCAAGUCGAACGGUAACAGGAAGCAGCUUGCUGCUUUGCUGACGAGUGGCGGACGGGUGAGUAAUGUCUGGGAAACUGCCUGAUGGAGGGGGAUAACUACUGGAAACGGUGGCUAAUACCGCAUAACGUCGCAAGACCAAAGAGGGGGACCUUCGGGCCUCUUGCCAUCAGAUGUGCCCAGAUGGGAUUAGCUUGUUGGUGAGGUAACGGCUCACCAAGGCGACGAUCCCUAGCUGGUCUGAGAGGAUGACCAGCCACACUGGAACUGAGACACGGUCCAGACUCCUACGGGAGGCAGCAGUGGGGAAUAUUGCACAAUGGGCGCAAGCCUGAUGCAGCCAUGCCGCGUGUAUGAAGAAGGCCUUCGGGUUGUAAAGUACUUUCAGCGGGGAGGAAGGUGUUGUGGUUAAUAACCGCAGCAAUUGACGUUACCCGCAGAAGAAGCACCGGCUAACUCCGUGCCAGCAGCCGCGGUAAUACGGAGGGUGCAAGCGUUAAUCGGAAUUACUGGGCGUAAAGCGCACGCAGGCGGUCUGUCAAGUCGGAUGUGAAAUCCCCGGGCUCAACCUGGGAACUGCAUUCGAAACUGGCAGGCUUGAGUCUUGUAGAGGGGGGUAGAAUUCCAGGUGUAGCGGUGAAAUGCGUAGAGAUCUGGAGGAAUACCGGUGGCGAAGGCGGCCCCCUGGACAAAGACUGACGCUCAGGUGCGAAAGCGUGGGGAGCAAACAGGAUUAGAUACCCUGGUAGUCCACGCCGUAAACGAUGUCUACUUGGAGGUUGUGCCCUUGAGGCGUGGCUUCCGGAGCUAACGCGUUAAGUAGACCGCCUGGGGAGUACGGCCGCAAGGUUAAAACUCAAAUGAAUUGACGGGGGCCCGCACAAGCGGUGGAGCAUGUGGUUUAAUUCGAUGCAACGCGAAGAACCUUACCUGGUCUUGACAUCCACGGAACUUUCCAGAGAUGGAUUGGUGCCUUCGGGAACCGUGAGACAGGUGCUGCAUGGCUGUCGUCAGCUCGUGUUGUGAAAUGUUGGGUUAAGUCCCGCAACGAGCGCAACCCUUAUCCUUUGUUGCCAGCGGUCCGGCCGGGAACUCAAAGGAGACUGCCAGUGAUAAACUGGAGGAAGGUGGGGAU